GUUGGCAACCCCGCCGGCGUGGCGAGUCAACAGCGAGAUUAGAGCGCCGGAUACACUCGUAGACGCCAUCCCUUACGCGACCGCGGACGCGGGUUCAAUUCCCGCCGUCUCCACCA
Molecule: transfer-messenger RNA, 116 nt
Filed under: Actinomycetota bacterium
Lineage: Bacteria; Bacillati; Actinomycetota
Description: partial transfer-messenger RNA
Rfam family: transfer-messenger RNA
About the family: Bacterial tmRNA, also known as 10Sa RNA or SsrA, is named for its dual tRNA and mRNA-like properties. Its role is to liberate the mRNA from a stalled ribosome.
Source: RNAcentral